This 6096-nucleotide long non-coding RNA is filed under the name Olea europaea subsp. europaea. Lineage: Eukaryota; Viridiplantae; Streptophyta; Magnoliopsida; Lamiales; Oleaceae. The record is from RNAcentral.
AAUUAUUUAAGCAAAAUAAAAGUGACCAUUGUUCUUGAUACCUUUUGCUUCAACUCUAACUUUCAUUUUGUGCUUUCCUUUCUGGAGAAGAGAUUGAAAGAAUUACUACAUAAUCAUCUUGUAAAUACGAAUCUCAUGGUCUUCUUCUAUAUAUAUAUAUAUAUAUAUAUUAUUUAGGAGUUUCUAUUGGUUGUUUGAUUUGCAGCUUUAUUUCAAGUGUUCAAAAGAUCAAGAAAUUGCAACCUGGAUAGGAGAUCAAUGAACUGAGGUAUGUCGAUUUCAUAGUUGUUCCAUUUGAGGCUUAUUUGUUAUUUUAAUUGUUCAGGUUAGAUUUGUUUAAAUUUUCCAGUUCAUUCGUUCAGAUGUCCAUUUCUUGUGAUUUUAGCUUUGAAUCUUGGGCAUAACUGGGUUAUGUCAAUUUCAUAGUUAUUUCAUUUUUCAUGGUUAUUUCAUUUUAGUAUUAUAUGUGCUUUUUAGUCAUUUCAUCUUAUUGUUAUCAUGCCUCUAGCCAAAGUCGUCCAAAAGUUUGAUCAUUGGCUUUGGGGUUAACAUUUUUUAUGUUUGUAGUUUUAUUAUUUUGUGCAAAACGGAUUUGAUGGUUUAUUGUUUGAUCACAAAAAUAACGUUCACAUCAUACUAAUGUUGCUUGUUGUAGAAUCUGUUUUACUGGUGAAGGUUUCAUAUUUACAUCAUGGAGUUAAAUUUAUUUGGAAUUAAUAAAAAUUAAGGGAUUCAAAUUUUGAAUGAUUUGCAUCAAGAGUUUUGUGAUUAAGAUAUUUUGCAUUUAUUUUAAAGAUGCAAAAAUUUGGUUUUAGAAAUGAUCGAGAUUGCCAAUUUUUGGGUUUAUUUUGCUACUGUACUGUUGAUGGAUCAUAAGCAACGAGACAUGUUUCUUGUCAAAUGUUUGAAUAUGGUUCACGUGAUGGCUUUUUGGUCCUUAUUCAUUUAGUAGGUUACUAUUUAGUGUCACCAAUAGUGUGCAUCUUAUUAGCCGUCUAAAUUUUGUUGAUAGAUACUUUGAUUUAAUUUUUCCCCUUUACAUGAUUAUGUUUUAUUGAAGUUUGUACAUUUUCAUUAUGUGGAAGUAUGUAUAUAUAUCGGUUAGCAGUGCAAUAGUUCUUACCAUUUUUGGUAUGUUAAAUCAACUUUUGAACUUUUCAUUGAAGAAGAAGCAAGACUGAAAAUCCGUUUGGUAACUACACAGCAUUACUUUGCAUUUGGAGUACUUGUGGGAGAGGAAUAGUUCUUGCCUCAUGUUUUGGAACGAUGCAUAUAUACACACACGCGCGCGCGCGCGAUGUCUUUAGCUAUCUUUGCACUGAUGAAUGGAUCGAACAUUUGUCUUUAGGCUGCACAUAACCAUUAUGUAUUCAUCUGCAGUAAGGAAGAGAAUUUGAACAAUAUAUAAUUUUGGCUUCCGAUCUAGAAAUCGAGCUUUUUCAAUUGAAAUAUGAUACAUCUUUAAUUGUCUACAAAUGCAAACUAUUACUAUGAAUAUUUAGCACAUGAGAACUUUAAUAUAACAAGAGGUACUUCCUCGCAUAAAAUGUUAAAAUUUCUUUUUGUCUUAUUUGUUUUUUACAAGAUCGAUGGUUACAAAGUUAUUCCCAGUUGCAAUUUAUUGUCCAUAUAAAAUGCGAUUUUAAUUAUAGGGACCCUAAUAUAUCCUCUAAAAAUGUGAUUACAAGACAUUUGUUGGAGGUUAAAGCCUAAUUAUUCUUUAUUUUGGCUAUUGAUUGUUAUGAUUCAGACCGACAAUGAUAUGAAAUUCUCAUUAAAAGCUACCCAUGGUUGAGAUUUUAAAAUUGGAGUUAAAAUGGUUUUAAAAUAUAACUGUGAUAUGUAGUUUUUAAAGGAAGUGAACAGUUAAAACAAGAUAUGAAUACAUUGCAUAAAUACUUUAGUUAAGUAUUAUGUGAACACAUUAGAUAUUUGAAUGUAGAUAUGAUCUUGUUUCUUUUCUGAAAUAAUAUGUGAACUUGAAUUUGGCAUGUGAAAGUAUGAUUUGUCAUGUAUGUAUCGACAAAAUGCUUACCUUCUUUGGAUUUUACAACAGCCUUGCCAUGUUAUAUAUAGAGAUAAGUCUUACGUUUACAAACCAUCUUCCAUUAUAGUAAAUACUUUAACUUUUUUUUUUUUGGUCAUUUUGCAGUUCCAUUUUGACACGGAGAGUGCAAAGGUAUUAUUUAUCUUGUAUCCCAGAAAUAUACUGGAGAUCAACAAUAAAAGUUACGAGCGUAGUUUUUUAUAUUUUUGUGCACUUUUGUAAUAUGUGUCAAAUUUAGGUGUUAUGAUAUGGAAGAAAAGGCUACAAAGGCUUAUGAUUUGGUAACACUGUAAGUACUGGGGACCUUCAACCCAUAUCAAUUUUUCGGUAAUGGUUUUUACUUCAUGUUGUUUAAUCUAUUGAUCUAUUAUAUUAUUAAGCCCCUUUUUGGUGUACAUUUCUUUGUCAUUUUAGAAAAUUUCAGAGCGUUGCACAGUAUCAUGAUGCAGUCAUUUGGACCCAAUGUGCAUACUUCCACUGUGUACUAUUAAAGAUUUUUCUUCCAUUUUCCACUUCUGCCGUCCUCCGUUUGCAUAGUUAGAAGGUGAAUUUAGGGAUUGAUUGGGUUGUUGGUAGGUUGGAGGUAAAAGGGGAAAAAAGGCAAAAGAAAAGAAUAAAAGCUGUUAACCUUUUGUUACGUUGUGUUAGGAUGAAGGACCGACCACUGUGCAUUUGCCAGUGCAAAUGGUCCAAAUAUUUCUAGAAAUGAAAUAAUAAUGCGCUCCAAACGGGGGUUAAAUGAGUUGAAAUAUGAUCCUUGAUGUUAAUACAGUUGGAAAAUUAUCAACAAAAACUUGAAGAAAUGAAAAACAUGACCACACACGAAUGUUUUGCUCACUUGAUAUGGUUUUAAUUCUAUGCGUACGAAUGCUACAAAAGUGAGUUCUUAAGAAAUGCAAAUUACAGUUUUGUUCUAGAUAAAGUGUAUUUACUAUACUAUUGUACUGAUGUCACAAUCUUUGCAGGUUUUGAAAUUUAUCUCUGCACUAGAUGGUCGUGAGGGAAAUUCAAGUGCUGAUAUUCUUCUGAAUUUUAUGGGUGGUCGUUUGUCAAGAAUAACUACUGCUUCAGUCACCUAUCCACUAUAUUUUGUGAAGACACAGCUUGCUGCAAAGGUAAUAUAGUAAAACUUCAUAUAGAACUACCGAAAAAGAAAAGAUUAACAUAAAUCAUGAGGACAACAUACACAACUUAUUUUCAAUAAAUUUGGCUGGGGACAUAAUAGCUGGAAUAGAAAUAGUGUUAUGCCCGAUGAAGCUACUCUUUACCUUAUGAAAUUUAUUCAAAAUCUAUUUUAAUUCUUUUCAUGCUUUCUUCGGAGUGUAGAGCCUUCGUUUGAUGUUUUUUAACAGAACCCAUAAUAUAGACAGGCUCCACCACUCAUAUAUAACGGUUGAUUAUUUACCUUGUCGGCAGUAUACAAUAAUUGGAAGAAAUUUCCUAUCUAUCCUCUUGAACUAAAGUUGAAAUGAAAAAGGUUAUUGGCCAAAUUGUCCACACAUGUAAUUUUAACUCUAUUCAUAAACAUUUUUAUCCCAAACAUUCAGAUUUUACAAAAUACAUAUUAUAUUGGUCUUUUGUCAUUUUAUCUAUUUGUAUGAUAUAAAAUAUUUUUAAUCUGUCGUUUAUUUUGCUCAAAAUAAUUUUACAAUAUCUCUGCAUAUAUUUACUAAUUUUGAAACUUUAUGUUUGCAUUGCAAAUAUACUUUACAAUUUAAUUUUAUUUAUGUGUAGUCUAGACAAACUAAUUAUGAAAUUUUGUCUUAUGUUAUGUCUUAUUUCUUCCUUGCUGUAAAAAAGAAGUGAAUGAGAAAAGUUCAAAAUGUCCCUCCUAUAGGAAGAAAGGUAAUUUUUUAAAUCCAUUUCUUCUGCUUCUAUAUAUCUUAUAGAUUUCUUCAAUGUCUUGGUCACUUUUUGUUAUAUAUUUAUGGUAUAAAUAUAAAAUGAGAAAGAAAUAAUCAAAUUAGAUAAAGUGCCAGAGUGGUGGGAAAUGUGGCUUCUGUGUGGUGAAGACUGUUACUUCCAUCUUACCUAUAUAAACCCAUAUCCUGUUUUGGAAAAAAGACACACAAAAAGAAAAUAGAAAAACCAUCUUGCAUCAAUCUUCCUUCUCAUAUUCUGAAUUUCUUAUAUUCGUGUUUUUUACAUAUAUUUUGGAGUAAAACUGAGAGUUCUUGAUAAACCAUUCGUGAUUGCUGCACAAGUGGUUUACGAUCGUUGUAUCCUGGGAGUGAUUGUCCACGGAGGUCGCAGCAAUUAUCGACGGGCAAUUUCACUUUAGGACAUCGUGCUGUCGCGAGACUCGAUCGGACGAUCAAUUUUAUAUUUCUGCAUUAUAUUGUUCUGAUCACUACUGCAACUAAAUAUCUUUUCCAACACUUUUGUAUUCAUUGGAAGGUUAUAAUGUUAGGUUAUCACAUGUAGGCACUUAAACUUGCAAAAUAGCUUUUUUGUUUCCACUUCUUGUUUAACAGCAUCUAACAUUUAAGUUUCAGGUCAUUAAUGCCACUAGCAAUGAGACCUGGGGCACUCAUGGAUCUCUUCGUGCUGAUAUUGCUCAAGCAUAAAAAAAAAUUAUUAAGUUUAAUGAAUCUUCCUUGUCUUCUCGAUCAUCCUAUUCAUCAUAAAUUAUUCAUUUUUUAUUUCAAUAAUCACGAGUAUUAGAUAAUUAUGGCAGUAAUCUCAAAGCACAUCAAUGAUACUAGAAAAAAUUGGCGUCAUGUCUAAAAGGUUUUUUCCCCUUAUUUACAAAGAAGUUGUUGGUUUUGUCAUUGAAAUUCUUUUCUAUGCAAGCUUACUGAAAUUUCAUGUUAUAUAUUUUUACUCAGUUUUUCCCCUUUGAUUAGUUUUUCCUAAAUCUUAUCACCUGUUAAUUUAUUCUUUCUUAUUCCUCUUAAAUAUUUUUAUACUAUAUUGUUUAUGUUAUCAUUUAAUACGUUCAUAAUACAUUAAUACCCACAAUUGAUGGCAAAUUGAUUCAGACAUAAAUGGUUUUUUUAUUCAAUUUGAAAUGAUAAAUACACAUCUCAAGGGUGUUUUAUUUGCACCUUCAAAUAAAUUUGCAAUGUACAUUACCUAUUCUUUUGAGUUUUUUUUUUUCUUUUCUAGAAAUGGUGCAUUCUUAUUACUUGCUUUCAUAUAAGUUAGUUCUUCUAAUCCUAUAUUCUUCUUUAAACAUUAAAUCCAUAUCAACAUUAAAAAUGCUAAUAUUACGUUCAAAAUAAUCCGACCCGUGCAUUGCACGGGCAACAAACUAGUAUCACUACAAAAGGCAUUUCUAUAGUAGCUACAACACGGUAGAAGAAGGAUCAAUAGCUAUUUUUCAUCUGCGUGGAAAUUUAAGUACGAUUUCCAGCAAUAGUAACUAUAUCAUUGCUGAUCGUGUGAGCUUUUGGGAUUCAAAUUUCUUGGUGUAUUCUAUAGUUUCACAAUUCUAUGUAAUUUUUCAUUCUUAGCUAUACUGCAAUUGUCCAGAAAUUGUUGAUUAUCCAUACUGCACUGCAUUAGAAAUUCUGAAAAUUUAAGAACCCUGAUCUGAGUAUACACUGCUGUUGGUUUAAUUUUUUCAAGAGGCACUUCGAUAGAAACGCUAGAAGGGUACCGAGCAUCAGCAGCUGGAAUUUUUUCAAGAAUUGAACGUACGUUGCACAAGAUUUCAAAAUUCUCUUUAUUAUACAACCCAGUUCUAUCCAAUUCUCCCACCACAACAUGGCAAAAGAAUAUAAAGGGAUAAAGAGUUAUGUUGAAUAGUGAUAUGCUUGGAAGAGAUGUAAAGGGGAAAGGAAAGGAAAAGAGAAGCAGAAUCCUUGCUUAGAUACAGAAGCAAAGUGGUGUGUCCCAUUCUUUCAAUUUUCCAUAUGAUUUCUUCAAGCAUAUGUUCCAAAUGCAUCUCAAAACAUUUUCUCGUUAUUCUCAUUCUCUGGAGGGAAAAAUAUGUAUUUUUGCUUUCAUCUAAUUUAGGUACUACUUGAUACCUUUUGACUAAAAAUUUUGCUCAAUGAACAACGGACGAUAUGGUUAGAUAGCAUAUAAUGGUAUGUUGAGAUCAU